UGAAUCCACGGGGGCAGCAGUGGGGAAUAUUGCACAAUGGGGGAAACCCUGAUGCAGCAACGCCGCGUGAAGGAAGACGGUUUUCGGAUUGUAAACUUCUGUUCUUAGUGAAGAAAAAUGACGGUAGCUAAGGAGCAAGCCACGGCUAACUACGUGCCAGCAACCGCGGUAAUACGUAGGUGGCAAGCGUUGUCUGGAGUUACUGGGUGUAAAGGGAGCGCAGGCGGGAAGCCAAGUCAGCUGUGAAAACUACGGGCUUAACUUGUAGACUGCAGUUGAAACUGGUUUUCUUG
This 293-nucleotide ribosomal RNA is filed under the name uncultured bacterium. RNAcentral's name for it is "partial 16S ribosomal RNA". It matches the Rfam family "Bacterial small subunit ribosomal RNA", at positions 332 to 644 of the family's 1533-position model. The record is from RNAcentral.